CCUACGGGUGGCAGCAGUGAGGAAUAUUGGUCAAUGGACGAGAGUCUGAACCAGCCAAGCAGCGUGAAGGAUGACUGCCCUAUGGGUUGUAAACUUCUUUUAUAUGGGAAUAAAAUGUUCCACGUGUGGGAUUUUGUAUGUACCAUAUGAAUAAGGAUCGGCUAACUCCGUGCCAGCAGCCGCGGUAAUACGGAGGAUCCGAGCGUUAUCCGGAUUUAUUGGGUUUAAAGGGAGCGUAGGUGGAUUGUUAAGUCAGUUGUGAAAGUUUGCGGCUCAACCGUAAAAUUGCAGUUGAAACUGGCAGUCUUGAGUACAGUAGAGGUGGGCGGAAUGCGUGGUGUAGCGGUGAAAUGCUUAGAUAUCACGAAGAACUCCGAUUGCGAAGGCAGUUCACUGGACUGCAACUGACACUGAGGCUCGAAAGUGUGGGUAUCAAACAGGAUUAGAUACCCCAGUAGUC
RNAcentral lists this ribosomal RNA (460 nucleotides) under uncultured bacterium. Its description in RNAcentral is "partial 16S ribosomal RNA". It matches the Rfam family "Bacterial small subunit ribosomal RNA", at positions 338 to 795 of the family's 1533-position model. The record is from RNAcentral.